This 435-nucleotide ribosomal RNA is filed under the name Blastocystis sp. RNAcentral describes it as "SSU rRNA". It matches the Rfam family "Eukaryotic small subunit ribosomal RNA", at positions 509 to 954 of the family's 1831-position model. The record is from RNAcentral. Lineage: Eukaryota; Bigyra; Opalinata; Blastocystidae.
UUGGAUUGAGAACAAUGUACAACUCUUAUCGAUAAGCCAUUGGAGGGCAAGUCUGGUGCCAGCAGCCGCGGUAAUUCCAGCUCCAAUAGCGUAUAUUAACGUUGUUGCAGUUAAAAAGCUCGUAGUUGAAGUGUGGGUGAUCGCUGUUGUGAGACUUCGGUCUCUCGAUAGUAAGUCACCCCCUUCCAGUAUCCAGUAGUGGGUAUUCAGUUACUUACUAUUGUGUGUUGGUCGUUUACUGUGAGAAAAUUAGAGUGUUCAAAGCAGGCGUUUGCUUGAAUAGAUUAGCAUGGAAUAAUAAUUGAAGGCUUUCGUGUUCGAUUUGAUUGGUUUGUUCAUGGAAGCAAGGUUAAAAGGAACAGUUGGGGGUAUUCAUAUUCACUAGUUAGAGGUGAAAUUCUCGGAUUUAUGGAAGAUGAACAAGUGCGAAAGCAA